UGGUAAUUCCAGAGCUAAUACAUGCAAACAACAUGAAUCAUUCGUAGUAAUACGGGUUGAGACAUGUGCUUUUAUUAGACUUUAAAACCAAUAUCUGCACCUCGGUGUAGGUUUGUUUUAGAUGAAUCUGGAUAAUUAUGGCUGAUCGUACGGUCUUAGCACCGACGAUAGAUCAUUCAAAUGUCUGCCCUAUCAACUAUUGAUGGUAGUAUAGUGGACUACCAUGGUUGCAACGGGUAACGGGGAAUCAGGGUUCGAUUCCGGAGAGGGAGCCUGAGAAACGGCUACCACAUCUAAGGAAGGCAGCAGGCGCGUAAAUUACCCAAUCCCGGCACGGGGAGGUAGUGACGAAAAAUAACAAUACAGGA
Molecule: ribosomal RNA, 368 nt
Filed under: Phlebotomus chinensis
Lineage: Eukaryota; Metazoa; Arthropoda; Insecta; Diptera; Psychodidae
Description: SSU rRNA
Rfam family: Eukaryotic small subunit ribosomal RNA
Source: RNAcentral